This 963-nucleotide ribosomal RNA is filed under the name Salmonella enterica subsp. enterica serovar Typhimurium. RNAcentral's name for it is "partial 23S ribosomal RNA". It matches the Rfam family "Bacterial large subunit ribosomal RNA", at positions 681 to 1558 of the family's 2925-position model. The record is from RNAcentral. Lineage: Bacteria; Pseudomonadati; Pseudomonadota; Gammaproteobacteria; Enterobacterales; Enterobacteriaceae.
GUCUUAAUUGGGCGUUAAGUUGCAGGGUAUAGACCCGAAACCCGGUGAUCUAGCCAUGGGCAGGUUGAAGGUUGGGUAACACUAACUGGAGGACCGAACCGACUAAUGUUGAAAAAUUAGCGGAUGACCUGUGGCUGGGGGUGAAAGGCCAAUCAAACCGGGAGAUAGCUGGUUCUCCCCGAAAGCUAUUUAGGUAGCGCCUCGUGAAUUCAUCUCCGGGGGUAGAGCACUGUUUCGGCUAGGGGGCCAUCCCGGCUUACCAACCCGAUGCAAACUGCGAAUACCGGAGAAUGUUAUCACGGGAGACACACGGCGGGUGCUAACGUCCGUCGUGAAGAGGGAAACAACCCAGACCGCCAGCUAAGGUCCCAAAGUCAUGGUUAAGUGGGAAACGAUGUGGGAAGGCCCAGACAGCCAGGAUGUUGGCUUAGAAGCAGCCAUCAUUUAAAGAAAGCGUAAUAGCUCACUGGUCGAGUCGGCCUGCGCGGAAGAUGUAACGGGGCUAAACCAUGCACCGAAGCUGCGGCAGCGAACGUAUCACCCAAGACAACUUUACGGAGUUGACGAUUGACGGAGCGAAGCGACGUCAAAGCGUUCAUUAAAGUCGAGUUGGCUUAGGGAUACGUUCGUUGGGUAGGGGAGCGUUCUGUAAGCCUGUGAAGGUGUGUCGUGAGGCAUGCUGGAGGUAUCAGAAGUGCGAAUGCUGACAUAAGUAACGAUAAAGCGGGUGAAAAGCCCGCUCGCCGGAAGACCAAGGGUUCCUGUCCAACGUUAAUCGGGGCAGGGUGAGUCGACCCCUAAGGCGAGGCCGAAAGGCGUAGUCGAUGGGAAACGGGUUAAUAUUCCCGUACUUGGUGUUACUGCGAAGGGGGGACGGAGAAGGCUAUGUUGGCCGGGCGACGGUUGUCCCGGUUUAAGCGUGUAGGUGUGUGUUCCAGGUAAAUCCGGUUCACUUUAACACUG